Long non-coding RNA from Bos taurus (domestic cattle), 477 nucleotides. The record is from Ensembl. Lineage: Eukaryota; Metazoa; Chordata; Mammalia; Artiodactyla; Bovidae.
GGACUCUUUAGUUGAGGCACAUGGGCUUAGUUUCAGCUCAUAAACUUCGCUAUUCCUUGACAUGUGGAAUCUUAGUUACCCGACCAGGUAUCAAAAUUGCAUCCCCUGCAUUCCUGCUGCUGCUGCUGCAAAGUCGCUUCAGUUGUGUCCUACUCUGUGCAACCCCAUAGACGACAGCCCGCCAGGCUCCCCUGUCCCUGGGAUUCUCCAGAUUUCAAGAAGGCUGCUGUGCCUCUGUCCAUCACAUCUGUGUUCCAGGCAGAACAUGAAGGUAAAUGCAAAAGGCUGAAGAAUAUCAGCUGAGUCUAUCUCUUUAAAAAAAAAGAAGAAGAAGAAUUUUUCUGGACACUGGACAUUGGUGCUCUUGGCUCCUGGGCUUCUGGACUUGGACUGAAUCAUACCAUUGACCUUCCUGGUUCUCUAGCUUGCAGAUGGCAGAUCAUGGGACUUCUCAAGCCCACAUAACUGCGAACCAAU